UAGGGAAUCUUCGGCAAUGGACGAAAGUCUGACCGAGCAACGCCGCGUGAGUGAAGAAGGUUUUCGGAUCGUAAAACUCUGUUGUUAGAGAAGAACAAGGACGUUAGUAACUGAACGUCCCCUGACGGUAUCUAACCAGAAAGCCACGGCUAACUACGUGCCAGCAGCCGCGGUAAUACGUAGGUGGCAAGCGUUGUCCGGAUUUAUUGGGCGUAAAGCGAGCGCAGGCGGUUUCUUAAGUCUGAUGUGAAAGCCCCCGGCUCAACCGGGAAGGGUAAUUGGAAACUGGGAGACUUGAGUGCAGAAGAGGAGAGUGGAAUUCCAUGUGUAGCGGUGAAAUGCGUAGAUAUAUGGAGGAACACCAGUGGCGAAGGCAGCUCUCUAGUCUGUAAAUAACGCUGAGGCUCUAAAGCGAGGGGAGCAAACAGG
RNAcentral lists this ribosomal RNA (429 nucleotides) under Chloroflexota bacterium. RNAcentral's name for it is "Chloroflexi bacterium partial 16S ribosomal RNA". It matches the Rfam family "Bacterial small subunit ribosomal RNA", at positions 355 to 776 of the family's 1533-position model. Lineage: Bacteria; Bacillati; Chloroflexota. The record is from RNAcentral.